CCAACCCAUGUGAACGUUACCAAACUGUUGCCUCGGCGGGAUCUCUGCCCCGGGUGCGUCGCAGCCCCGGACCAAGGCGCCCGCCGGAGGACCAACCAAAACUCUUAUUGUAUACCCCCUCGCGGGUUUUUUUAUAAUCUGAGCCUUCUCGGCGCCUCUCGUAGGCGUUUCGAAAAUGAAUCAAAACUUUCAACAACGGAUCUCUUGGUUCUGGCAUCGAUGAAGAACGCAGCGAAAUGCGAUAAGUAAUGUGAAUUGCAGAAUUCAGUGAAUCAUCGAAUCUUUGAACGCACAUUGCGCCCGCCAGUAUUCUGGCGGGCAUGCCUGUCCGAGCGUCAUUUCAACCCUCGAACCCCUCCGGGGGGUCGGCGUUGGGGAUCGGCCCUGCCUUGGCGGUGGCCGUCUCCGAAAUACAGUGGCGGUCUCGCCGCAGCCUCUCCUGCGCAGUAGUUUGCACACUCGCAUCGGGAGCGCGGCGCGUCCACAGCCGUUAAACACCCAACUUCUGAAAUGUUGACCUCGGAUCAGGUAGGAAUACCCGCUGAACUUAAGCAUAUCA
RNAcentral lists this ribosomal RNA (559 nucleotides) under Trichoderma harzianum. RNAcentral's name for it is "eukaryotic LSU rRNA". The stretch from base 185 to 338 matches the Rfam family "5.8S ribosomal RNA". Lineage: Eukaryota; Fungi; Ascomycota; Sordariomycetes; Hypocreales; Hypocreaceae. The record is from RNAcentral.